UUCGGUGAGACGGCAUAUAUCCUAGCGGCGGACGGGUGAGUAACGCGUGGGUAAUCUACCUCGUAGUUCGGGAUAACAGGCCGAAAGGCUUGCUAAUACCGGAUGAGUUCAUGCUUAUGCAUAUAGGCAUGAAGAAAGGGCUAGCCCGCUAUGAGAUGAGCCCGCGUCCCAUUAGCUUGUUGGUGGGGUAACGGCCUACCAAGGCAACGAUGGGUAGCCGGCCUGAGAGGGUGUACGGCCACACUGGGACUGAGACACGGCCCAGACUCC
RNAcentral lists this ribosomal RNA (270 nucleotides) under uncultured bacterium. RNAcentral's name for it is "partial 16S ribosomal RNA". It matches the Rfam family "Bacterial small subunit ribosomal RNA", at positions 71 to 339 of the family's 1533-position model. The record is from RNAcentral.